RNAcentral lists this ribosomal RNA (301 nucleotides) under uncultured bacterium. RNAcentral's name for it is "partial 16S ribosomal RNA". It matches the Rfam family "Bacterial small subunit ribosomal RNA", at positions 509 to 808 of the family's 1533-position model. The record is from RNAcentral.
CAGCCGCCACGGUAAUACGUAGGGUGCGAGCGUUAAUCGGAAUUACUGGGCGUAAAGCGUGCGCAGGCGGUUGUGUAAGACAGGCGUGAAAUCCCCGGGCUUAACCUGGGAACUGCGCUUGUGACUGCACAGCUAGAGUAUGGCAGAGGGGGGUGGAACUCCACGUGUAGCAGUGAAAUGCGUAGAGAUGUGGAGGAACACCGAUGGCGAAGGCAGCCCCCUGGGCCAAUACUGACGCUCAUGCACGAAAGCGUGGGGAGCAAACAGGAUUAGAUACCCCCGUAGUCCCUGUCUCUUAACA